CAGUCGCCGCGGGAAUACGUAGGUCCCGAGCGUUGUCCGGAUUUAUUGGGCGUAAAGCGAGCGCAGGUGGUUUAAUAAGUCUGAUGUGAAAGCCCACGGCUCAACCGUGGAGGGUCAUUGGAAACUGUUAAACUUGAGUGCAGGAGAGAAAAGUGGAAUUCCUAGUGUAGCGGUGAAAUGCGUAGAGAUUAGGAGGAACACCAGUGGCGAAGGCGGCUUUUUGGCCUGUAACUGACACUGAGGCGCGAAAGCGUGGGGAGCAAACAGGAUUAGAUACCCCUGUAGUCCCUGUCUCUUAUAC
This 301-nucleotide ribosomal RNA is filed under the name uncultured bacterium. RNAcentral describes it as "partial 16S ribosomal RNA". It matches the Rfam family "Bacterial small subunit ribosomal RNA", at positions 509 to 807 of the family's 1533-position model. The record is from RNAcentral.